GACACUAAGUUCGGCAUCAAUAUGGUGACCUCCCGGGAGCGGGGGACCACCAGGUUGCCUAAGGAGGGGUGAACCGGCCCAGGUCGGAAACGGAGCAGGUCAAAACUCCCGUGCUGAUCAGUAGUGU
This 127-nucleotide signal recognition particle RNA is filed under the name Canis sp. RNAcentral's name for it is "SRP RNA from Canis sp. (PDB 2GO5, chain A)". It matches the Rfam family "Metazoan signal recognition particle RNA", at positions 113 to 236 of the family's 299-position model. Rfam says of the family: The signal recognition particle (SRP) is a universally conserved ribonucleoprotein. Lineage: Eukaryota; Metazoa; Chordata; Mammalia; Carnivora; Canidae. The record is from RNAcentral.